AUGCUUUUAGCUUAAUAGGUAUUAGCUUUGAAGGAGCUAAAGUUUUAUGAGCAUU
RNAcentral lists this transfer RNA (55 nucleotides) under Dermatophagoides farinae (American house dust mite). Its description in RNAcentral is "tRNA-Phe". Lineage: Eukaryota; Metazoa; Arthropoda; Arachnida; Sarcoptiformes; Pyroglyphidae. The record is from RNAcentral.